This 484-nucleotide ribosomal RNA is filed under the name uncultured bacterium. Its description in RNAcentral is "partial 16S ribosomal RNA". It matches the Rfam family "Bacterial small subunit ribosomal RNA", at positions 30 to 507 of the family's 1533-position model. The record is from RNAcentral.
AUUGAACGCUGGCGGCAGGCCUAACACAUGCAAGUCGAGCGGAUGAAGGGAGCUUGCUCCUGGAUUCAGCGGCGGACGGGUGAGUAAUGCCUAGGAAUCUGCCUGGUAGUGGGGGAUAACGUCCGGAAACGGGCGCUAAUACCGCAUACGUCCUGAGGGAGAAAGUGGGGGAUUUUCGGACCUCACCCUUUCAGUUGGCCCUAGGUCGGAUUAGCUAGUUGGUGGGGUAAAGGCCUACCAAGGCGACGAUCCGUAACUGGUCUGAGAGGAUGAUCAGUCACACUGGAACUGAGACACGGUCCAGACUCCUACGGGAGGCAGCAGUGGGGAAUAUUGGACAAUGGGCGAAAGCCUGAUCCAGCCAUGCCGCGUGUGUGAAGAAGGUCUUCGGAUUGUAAAGCACUUUAAGUUGGGAGGAAGGGCAGUAAGUUAAUACCUUGCUGUUUUGACGUUACCAACAGAAUAAGCACCGGCUAACUUCGUG